AAAGAAAUCCCCAGAGGCAAAAAAUUGUGGAACGAAGCCUGCGUGCAUUGCCUUGGAUUUUGUCUACCGCCUCAGCGUGUGCAGAAUGUACUCAGCAUAAAGGUCCAUGGAGUACUGGAUGGCAUCAACAGCAUGGUUUGAAGGCAAGAACUCAUUAACUGCAACCUCUUUGUUCUCAUUUUUCUUGUAAUCUUCAAAGAAACGACGGAUCUCAGAAAGGCGAUGAGGAGCCAACUGUUUGAUAUCAGUGUAAUGCUUGUACUCUGGAUCAUCA
Molecule: unclassified non-coding RNA, 274 nt
Filed under: Hevea brasiliensis (rubber tree)
Lineage: Eukaryota; Viridiplantae; Streptophyta; Magnoliopsida; Malpighiales; Euphorbiaceae
Source: RNAcentral